GUCUACAGCCAUGCCACCCUGAACGUGCCCGAUCCCAUCUAAUCUAGGAAGCUAAGGAGGGUCGGGCCUGGUUAGUACUUGGAUGGGAGACUCACCUAGGGAGAUCAUGUGAUGUAGGCA
RNAcentral lists this ribosomal RNA (120 nucleotides) under Pteropus alecto (black flying fox). The record is from RNAcentral. Lineage: Eukaryota; Metazoa; Chordata; Mammalia; Chiroptera; Pteropodidae.